CCAAGUAUAUAAUGUCAGUUGAUUGGUGCUGUCAAAGUCCAUCUAAUCCUGUUUAGAAAUAUUGUCAUAACUCAUGCAGAUAUAGAAACGCUUAUGUCUGUAAUUUUUUUCUUAUCUAUGUGCUGUCUGAAACGGCAGAUAAAUAAUGAGCUUAGAACUGCAUUCUCACAUAAAAAUAAUUUUAAGUCAUUUUUUUAAAUUUACAUUGUAAGCAGAAUUUUAAAGUUUACUUUAAUACCGUUCAAAGGUUUGCGGUCAGUAAGAUUUUUUGUUUUGUUUUUUGAAUAUAUUUAUUCAGUGAUGAAUUCAAAUAAUCAAAAGUGACAGUAAAGACAUUUAUGUUACAAUAGAAAAUAAAUGUUCUUUUGAACAUUAUACUCAUCAAAGAACCCUGCCAAAAAUGUAUCACAGUUUACACAGUUAUAACAGCUGUUUUCAACAUAAAUGCCAAAUCAGCAUAUUGGAAUAAUUUCUGAGGAAUCAUGUGACUCUGAAGACUGGAGUAAUGAUGCUAAAAAUUAAGCUUUGCCAUCACAUGAAUACAUUUUAAAAUAAAAUAAAAAACAGAUAUUAUAAAUUGUAAUAAUAUUUCACAAUGGAGCUGUUUUUACUGUAUUUUUGCUCAAAUAAAUAAGCCAUGGUGAGCAAAAGUUGUCUUUCAAAACAUCAAAAAUCUUAUCAACCUCAAACUUUUGAAACAUGAAUGUCUUGCAAACCACUCAAGAGGAAAGGUCAGCAUUUUUGUUCAUCUUUAAAUAUUUAAAAUGUUUUGUAACAAAACUGUUUUCACAUGCUUCGAAUAUUAUAAAUAUCCACAAUUUGUGUAAAGUCUGUUGACCAAAACUUUAUCUCUUACAAUUUUUUCAAAGUGUUUCGUAUUUCAUAAUUAUUUUACUGUUUAAUUUUAGCAAUGACAGGUUCUGUAGUGACAGGGAGCAAUGUGUGUCAGUGAACUGUUCCCUGUUUUUCCUGGAUAUGUGCCUAUACAAUAACUGAGAAAUAUUCACUGGAGUAAAGAGUGUUACAACUAGCCCUAAUCUCCACAAAAGUACUCCUCAUACACUUCUAGCUUCAUUUUGCAAGUCUCACCCUAUUAGUUCCGUCUCUCACGCAUCUUUGUUCUAGUUUGAUGAACACACUGAAGAAACUUCUCCUGCAGCCGGCUGUUGUCUCCCACCUCUCAGGGGCUCCAGGCCAAUGUUUUAUUCUUAGUCUUAAAAUGGUUUCGCUUCAUUGUUUUUAAAAACUUCUUUUGUGAUCUCUAUAGAUCCCCCAGAUCUGCAAGACAGAGACCAUAGGAGUGCAAAUGAUACUAAUGUUGCCCACAACAUUGUUAGCGAUUCACUUGACUUCAUGCACACCAUGGAUGGCCUGAGGGCCACUGACAACUUGCUGAUAUUUGGAACCAGAACAGCAGGUGUGGGGAGAAGUAAUGACAAGACUCCAUUUUACUGGCUGUCACAUCCCAGCAUGCUCGCCGCUGUCCAGUCGAGUGCACCGACUGAAAGAUGACAAGCUGACAGCUCACCACACAGGAUACCAGGCGUCUAAUGACAUUCUGCGAGUCCUCUGUGAUCGUUCGUCUGGGGGAAUGUUGCCACAUCAACACAAAUCGAACAAUGCACUGAAAUAUAAUGGCGCUGGACGCUACCAGUUUCCAAGGCAACAAUUGUGACAGAUUUGGGGGAGACAAGACAGGUAAUUGGAAAAAGAUUGAUGGGGUACAAGAGAGUGGAAAAAAACCCUAUCAAAGGAGGUCUCUCAGGGAAUAACAACAAUACAAUAAAAGGUCUUGCAUCCUUUCGAGCCAUCGACGGCCUCCUGUCCAUCUAUUUUCAGGCCCAGUUCAAUGGCUUCAACACAUCUGUCAGUCUUCCAUCAUGUGAGAGUAUACAAAAAGAUUGUAUAUCGCUAAAUGAAGCAGCAUCAAAAAUUAUUCAUCCUCAAGUAAUAUCUCAAAAAUCCCCGUCUGUUUCUUACAGAAUUCCAUCGCUCCCACACUGUAAAAAUCAUCUUUGUCAUUUCCAACUGUAAAUUAUCUUAUUUUACUGUAAAAUACUGUCAAAUAUCUGGUUUUUGAAAGUAAAAAAAUCUGAAUUACCAUUUAAUUUAUAGUGAAAAACAGUAAAAGGACAUUCCCAAAACACCACAUAUGAUUAUAUUUUAUAUAAUCUUCAUUUAAUUUAAUUUAACAAGAUAUUUUUUAACACACUCUAAAAAAUCUUGGGUUAUUUUCUCUACCCAAGUCCUGGGUUGAGCCUUUUGGGUCAAUUUUUUGGGGUUAUUUUUUCAGUGUUUGGGUAGUUUUUGUGUUACCCAGAUCCUGGGUCAGACGUAAUAACCUGGUGUUUGGGUAGUUUUUGUGUUACUCAGAUCCUGGGUCAGAUGUAAUAACCCAGUGUUUGGGUAGUUUUUGUUUUACCCAGAUCCUGGGUCAGACGUAACAACCCAGUGUUUAGGUAGUUUUUGUAUUAUUCAGAUCCUGGGUCAGACGUAACAACCCAGUGUUUGGGUAGUUUUUGUGUUAUCCACAUCCUGGGUCAGAUGUAAUACCCAGCGUUUGGGUAGUUUUUGUGUUACCCAGAUACUGGAUCAAUCGUAACAACCCAGUGUUUGGGUAAUUUUUGUGUUACCCAGAUCCUGGGUCAGACGUAACAACCCAGUGUUUGGGUAAUUUUUGUGUUACCCAGAUCCUGGGUCAGACGUAACAACCCAGCGUUUGGGUAAUUUUUGUGUUACCCAGAUCCUGGGUCAGACGUGUUUGGGUAGUUUUUGUGUUACCCAGAUCCUGGGUCACUCGUAACAACCCAGUGUUUGGGUAGUUUUUGUGUUACCCAGAUCCUGGGUCAGAGGUAACAACCCAGUGUUUGGGUAAUUUUUGUGUUACCCAGAUCCUGGGUUAGACAUAACAACCCAGUGUUUGGGUAGUUUUUGUUUUACCCAGAUCCUGUGUCAGACGUGUUUGGGUAGUUUUUGUGUUACCCAGAUCCUGGGUCAGAGGUAACAACCCAGUGUUUGGGUCAUUUUUGUGUUACCCAGAUACUGGGUCAGACAUAACAACCCAGUGUUUGGGUAGUUUUUGUGUUACCCAGAUCCUGGGUUAGACAUAAUAACCCAGUGUUUGGGUAGUUUUUGUUUUACCCAGAUCCUGUGUCAGACGUGUUUGGGUAGUUUUUGUGUUACCCAGAUCCUGGGUCAGAGGUAACAACCCAGUGUUUGGGUCAUUUUUGUGUUACCCAGAUCCUGGGUCAGACGUAACAACCCAGGGGUUGAGUUAUUUAUCACAGGCUUUUUGUGACCUCUUCAGGAGAGAGCAGUGCAGCUCCGUCAAAUUUGUGCAUGUCUUCGGUAAAAUACAGGUUUGUGUAUGUAUUAUUUUAUCUAAAAAUUUGUUAUUGUUCUGUAUAUCAUUUAAUUUUAUGCAAAGCAACAUAGAGGGGUGCGAAGUGACUCACCUAAAUGAGUGUCGAGUCGGUCUUUUCACAUGAUGGAAAAUAUAAAAGUUCAUAAAAGUUUAUGAUUUUAUUAAAAAAGAUACAGAAUAUAAAUACUUAGGAUGGAUGUUAAAAUAUGUUAUCAGAAUUGUACACUGAUUAUUUAUGGACAGGUUAUGGAGUCAGUAAUUUUUCAGCUAUGAGUGUAACGCAGCGUGGCGGUCUGAAGUCUCCGGCACAAGAUCCAGCGCCGUUACGGUGGAAACAGGACAACAGAGACUGGUCGAUUACACUUGAAUUACUUCUAAAUGUUUAAUUUUUACUUCUAAUAUUUGUUACAUGAGCUUAAAUGUAGGCAAUAUGUAUGAAAAACGAUAUAAAAUAUGCUAAACUAUAAAAAUUGGGUUGUUUUUAACCAAGUGUUUUUUAGAGACUUUUUCAUUCAUUUUACACCGAUGCUUCCUCUAGGCUCUGUUUGGACUUGGCAAACUCAAGUGGGGUGUUGCUCAGCCUGACACAGUGUCUAAGAAUGCAAAGAAGCCUGUAGGGUUAAUGGUUGAGACUGCGUCACCGACGUUUUGCGUCAGUCAUUUUCAGUAUAACCAAACCAAACAAGCAAAGUGUAUGUAUGUAUCGGAAGGUUUUUAUGGUCUUCCUCUCUUCAUACGAAAUGAUGUCAGCAGGAUCGGGGCAGGCUGCGGCUCUUUGCCGUGUGGCGGUUGGAGAGGGAAACAAUGGUGGUGUUGAUAGAAAACCCAGCUCCACCUGUAGGGCCUGAUUUUUAUCUCCGCUGCAGUACGGCGGCCCCCUCCCCCAGGCCCUUCUUGUCAUCGCUCUUUGCAGCAUUCAUUAAAUGGAGUCAGACUUUAGCAGGAGAGAAGAGCCCAAGUCACCCAUGUGAGAAAAAAGAGAAUUACCUAAGCCUUUUGUCUCACAGAGUGUGGCUCAGCUAAUGUCUUGAAGGCAUGCUGAUCUCUUCACAAAGAGUUGUCCUCACACAAUAGAGAAGACAGCAUGUAGUUUGGCAUGCAAAACUUAUAAAGCCCAGCCUCUUUGUUGCCUGUGGUGAGAGGUUUUCAGUCUCAUUUGGUCUGUUUGAUUGGGCUGAUAAGAUGUCUGUCAGGGUCAGGUCAGACUGAGCAUUUGUUGUGCUGACAGUGUGAUGAUUGAGACAUUGGUGUCAAUUAGGUGUUUGCGUAUUGGGCCCGGCAUAACUGCUAUUACUUUAGCAUGGUGGCUUCCUCCCACAAGUGUGCCAGCAUCACCUCCUUUAUGCCUCUUUGUCUGUGUAUUCCCUCACUCGGCCUCACAGGAGCUAAAUUUAUGACCUGGUCCGUCCUCGUCCACUCAACCCCCCGUCAUCAGCCGGUUCUUCUGUGUUCACACCAGAAGUGACAGAAGCUCUUAGCCCCUCUUCACACAUCCUCACCCUUUUUCCUCCUCUGUGCCGUGCCCUCUCUCUCCCUCAUUCACCUUCUUCCUCCCCCAGUCCUUACUCUUUGUUGUGGCCUAAAGCUAUUUAAGGGUGCAGGAUGGAGCUGGUCUCAUGAGAGGGUCCUGGACAAAUAGUAGGAGUGUUUACUGUGGAGGCACUGAUAUGUCCUUUGGGGCUGAGCUGAGCUGAGCAUGCAGCUGCAGGAAAAAGCAGGGUUGAAGGCCUUUGUGUUGUCCCCUUUCACCUGUCCACAGGAAUCCUCCAGUCAGGGGUGUGUACGGCACUUGAGUAUACUACCGAAGAACAAUUACUCAAGUAUUAUUUUGGGGAAUUUGUACUUUACUCAAGGGCUGUUGAACUAAAUACUGUCUAAGGAAACAAUAGGGCUUUUCACACCAGCUAAUCCUGGGUCAUUCUUAACCACGGGUUAUCUUGAUUACGUUUCACAUUGCUCAUAAUUUAGCCGGGGUUAAAGGGUUAGUUCACCCAAA
This is a long non-coding RNA of Ctenopharyngodon idella (grass carp), 5360 nucleotides long. RefSeq lists it as uncharacterized. The record is from RefSeq and is a predicted model, not a curated record. The transcript is spliced from 3 exons. Lineage: Eukaryota; Metazoa; Chordata; Actinopteri; Cypriniformes; Xenocyprididae.